Long non-coding RNA from Tripterygium wilfordii, 2158 nucleotides. RefSeq lists it as uncharacterized. The record is from RefSeq and is a predicted model, not a curated record. Lineage: Eukaryota; Viridiplantae; Streptophyta; Magnoliopsida; Celastrales; Celastraceae. The transcript has 4 exons.
UUUGUUUGAUACUUUUUUCGUUCGCUUCGCGCGUCUACCCGAACUUCGUCCGUUUAUUUCUAUCUUCCACACGAAGAAAACGCAAAAAAGUUGAGCGAGACGACGAAGAGACGCUCUCGCAGAUCGACAAUGUCGAUGGCGUCCUACAGUUCUCCGAAGGAGUCUUUGAGAUUGAUCGUGCACAUUCUCAAUUUCUCAUUGUUUACAAACGACAACAGCUGCGAGAAGAAACGCACCUGCGAUUCGUCCACGAGUUCGGCUUCUCGUAAAACCCUAACAUCUGUCUCGGAGGUGCGAAAAUCUGAGGAGAAAUUUCAUCGAUCAGUCACACGUUGAGGUUCUCAAGGACGUGGAAGCCUCCCUCCCUCGUGUUUAAACGUUUGAUGGUACUUUUCUCUCUAUAAUUACGGAUCAAGUAGUUCAAUGCUGAGUAUAUUGUACCGAGCACUUGUGUGACUUUGCAUGAUGUUUUGUUAUGUCUCUCUGUUUUUAUUGCCAUGAAAACAGAGGAAGGGACUGAGAAAAUUGAUGUUUACCUGCAGCUUGACAUGAAUGAGAGGUAGAUGUAUUCCAAACAUUUUAAAGCUGCGCUAUAUGCCUCGUUACUUUUCUUAGGGUUUCUUGCCAGCCAAACAGAUAUUGUAGUAGACUAUCUAGCGCUUAAAUAUUAUUUACGCGUAUGAAAAUUAUUAAUGGUAUGCUAUUUCAUGUAAUUAUUACCUUAUAAAUCGCGAGAUAUACUUUUUCUUAAUUUCCUUUCCUGAUGAAAAUUGAGAGAGAUUUAUAAUUUACAUUUGGAAAUUCGUGUUGUCAAUUAAAUCUUCAUGUUGCAUUUUCAGUAGUAAUGUAUAGACAUCUAUUGUAUUAUAUUGUUUACAGAGUGAAUAACUCCAUAUGCACUGAUUGUUAUUUGGUUGCUAAUUUCCUAAUCAAAUCCAGCGUGGUCAACCAUGCCAUGUAGUUUGUAUUUCUAAAUGGAUACUUUACAGGCUUUAUAUUUACCUUGUUGAAAUAUCUGAUUCUUAUAAAUAUUGAAUGGUAAAAAUGCGACGUGUUAUUUAAUCACGAUAAAUAUUUUCUAUGGAUCUAAAAGCUUUAGACAGUCAAUGUGUUUUUUGCUAGAUCAUUUCAUUGUGUGUUUUUCCAUUUUGAACUAUUUCAAUCUUGUUAGUAAAACUUAAUUGAAAAUAAUUCAUAUUUAUAAUGGUAAAUUAUAAUUGGUUAGUUGAUAGGGCUUAAUUUGCAUAAUCAAUCCGCUGAUUAAUAUAAAUCCGCUAUUAUCUGUCUUUUGUGUCAUAUUAUAAAUUAUGUAUGGCUGCCUUUGUAUAGGGUGCCUUGAUGUGGUAAAUUAUGUGGGACUUUCUCUUUAUUUUUCCAGAUCUUUGAUAUUAGAAUGACUCUCAAAUGUUUUCACAGUACCUCCACUUUAAAAUGUGGCUCGCUUCAUGUGGUAAACUUUGUUAAGAAUAUUUGUCAGUCCUUUUGUUGAACUCGACCACAUGAUGACCCAUGUCAAAAGUUGGCUUCACCUGAAAGACAACUCAGGAAGCAAUGAAGAGUUCGUGUCAGAGGCACAGACCGUUGCAUCUUGGGUGUGCAAAAUAUCCAUCGCUGAGCUUUUGAAGGCGUUUGAGAAGGAAAUUGAUGUUCCAAGGACGCAGAACUCCAUCAACUUAGGGCGGUCAUCUUGAGCUAGCUAUUCUAACAAAGAGAACUUUCAUAGAUUACUUUGUAGAGUAAUCCAGUCUUCUGUUAGAUGUUCCACAAAUAGCUGCUCACUUGCUUUUAUUGCGUGUACUACGGCAGGUCAGUUUAUGCUACAGAACGAAUGCGCUUUUUAAUAAAAUGUUCCCACGAAAAUCAUAACAAAUAAUAACAAAUAUCGAUACAGGACAAGCACGUACUCGUGAUUUGACAUUAUUAGAAUUAAAAGGACGGAUCGUAAAAUACGUAAACAAAAUGCGAAAUGUUCAAUCGAAAGGGCCUUCUGGGACGGCCCAGCCGUGAUAUCUGUAUGGCCCAUAUUCUUAUUAGUUCUAGACCAAACUGCCCAUGUCUUUUUAUCUCGUUCGGGUUCAUCUUAAUUGGCAGUGAGACCCAAAUCAAAUUAGUGGGCCAAACUAUGACUGUAAUGGCCUGUUGGCCAACAUCAAUGGGC